GUGAGGAAUAUUGGUCAAUGGACGAGAGUCUGAACCAGCCAAGUCGCGUGAAGGAAGACGGUUCUAUGAAUUGUAAACUUCUUUUGUGCAGGAAUAAAGUGGGUUACGUGUAACCUUUUGUAUGUACUGUACGAAUAAGGAUCGGCUAACUCCGUGCCAGCAGCCGCGGUAAUACGGAGGAUCCGAGCGUUAUCCGGAUUUAUUGGGUUUAAAGGGUGCGUAGGUGGAUUGAUAAGUCAGCGGUGAAAGUUUGCAGCUUAACUGUAAAAUUGCCGUUGAAACUGUCGGUCUUGAGUGCAAAUGAGGUAGGCAGAAUGUGUUGUGUAGCGGUGAAAUGCUUAGAUAUAACACAGAACUCCGAUUGCGAAGGCAGCUUACUGGGAUGCAACUGACACUGAUGCACGAAAGCGUGGGUAUCAAACAGGAUUAGAAACCCGUGUAGUCC
RNAcentral lists this ribosomal RNA (445 nucleotides) under uncultured bacterium. RNAcentral's name for it is "partial 16S ribosomal RNA". It matches the Rfam family "Bacterial small subunit ribosomal RNA", at positions 354 to 796 of the family's 1533-position model. The record is from RNAcentral.